CGCGGCCGCCGCCCGAGCUGCCGCCGCCGAAGCGCUUUCUCUGUCUCGCUCUUCCUCCGCCCCCCGACCACACCCCCUUAAAGGGCCAGCCCCUCUACAGGCCCCUCUCCCCUACUCCGCCCCCGGGCAGGGAUAGGGGAGGGUCUAUUCGGCAAGGGGUGGCCUAGCUGUCCGUACUCCCCAAACGCAACCUUCCAGUCCCAAACCCAGGCGUUCUAAGCGCUCAGGACGACGAUUUGCGCUCACGCCAGGACCCUAGUCUUCAUUGGACCCUUCCUCAUUCUGUCCUCACUGGGGCCAUCUGAGAAUAGGGGCCAUCUGAGAAUGCAGGGGAGUGGACAUCGUGUGCAGACAGGGAGUCUGAUUGUGAGUGCCGCGGGGCUGAGGCCUGCGCCGACCUGGUCUGCUGGUGCUACCAGGCUUGAACAGUCUUCAAAUCCACUGCUAUUAGGCAAAUUACCUGGCUCCCGCUGAACUCCAGCACCUAGAACUAUGUCACACUCGUAGUAGGCCGCUGCAUUGGUUGAACAAAUGAUUUUGAAAGAAUGAAUGUCUUCCUCUGUGCCUGCAUUUCCUCAGAAGGUUGUAACAAAGAUUAAAUAGGAAAAUUCGUGGAA
Molecule: long non-coding RNA, 617 nt
Filed under: Pan troglodytes (chimpanzee)
Lineage: Eukaryota; Metazoa; Chordata; Mammalia; Primates; Hominidae
Description: long non-coding RNA NONPTRT002669
Source: RNAcentral